UCCCUGGUGGCUCAGACGGUAAAGCGUCUGCCUACAAUGCAGUAGACCCGGGUUCAAUCCCUGGGUUGGGAA
Non-coding RNA from Bos taurus (domestic cattle), 72 nucleotides. The record is from Rfam. Lineage: Eukaryota; Metazoa; Chordata; Mammalia; Artiodactyla; Bovidae.